UCUGCCCCGAGAGGCAUUGCAGGUGUGGCUGCUGGGUCACACAUGUAUCAGUAGGUGACAGAGAAGAGAGAUGCUAUGUCUACACUCACUGUUCUGACUUAUGAACAUCUGAAUGAUUAGUAGCCUAACGUU
This is a small nucleolar RNA of Acomys russatus (golden spiny mouse), 132 nucleotides long. RefSeq annotates it as small nucleolar RNA SNORA17. NCBI's taxonomy places the organism in Eukaryota, Metazoa, Chordata, Mammalia, Rodentia, Muridae. The record is from RefSeq and is a predicted model, not a curated record. The transcript has a single exon.